Molecule: long non-coding RNA, 260 nt
Filed under: Elaeis guineensis (African oil palm)
Lineage: Eukaryota; Viridiplantae; Streptophyta; Magnoliopsida; Arecales; Arecaceae
Description: long non-coding RNA (EGUI_LNC002188)
Source: RNAcentral
AGAAUUGAGAUUAAGAUAAACUCGUCAAACCUCAUAUCUGUCAUAUAUUAGAAUCAAUCGAUUCGAAUUUGAUAUAAAAUCUAAUAGAAACUUCUUUCUAUCUUUUACAUUGUCAUGGUCAUGGGCUUAUGGACUCAAUCUCAUGAUUUACAUAGGACUACUUCUCUAUCGAGAUUGAUAAAUCUCAUCUUGGUGCAAUCCAAUUUCUACAAUGAACGUAUUGCGGCCAACAUACACCUCAAAGCUCUAUAAUAGCUAGG